UUACCUGGGCUCGAACGGCUGCCGACUGGUGGUGGAAACAUCGCCUUUCCCGCAAGGGACGGUAGUCGAGGUGCUGCAUGGCUGUCGUCAGCUCGUGUCGUGAGAUGUUGGGUUAAGUCCCGCAACGAGCGCAACCCUUGUCCUGUGUUGCUAAUCGAAAGAUGCACUCUCGGGAGACCGCCAGCGAUAAGUUGGAGGAAGGUGGGGAUGACGUCAAGUCAUCAUGGCCUUUAUGUCCAGGGCUACACACGUGCUACAAUGGGCGGUACAAAGCGCUGCAAACCCGCGAGGGGGAGCUAAUCGCAAAAAACCGUUCUCAGUUCGGAUUGCAGGCUGCAACUCGCCUGCAUGAAGCUGGAAUCGCUAGUAAUGGCAUAUCAGAACGAUGCCGUGAAUACGUUCCCGGGCCUUGUACACACCGCCCGUCACAUCACGAAAGUGGAUUGUACUAGAAGCCUGCGCGCUAACCCGCAAGGGAGGCAGCGGUCCAAGGUAUGAUUCAUGAUUGGGGUGAAGUCGUAACAAGGUAGCC
This 532-nucleotide ribosomal RNA is filed under the name uncultured bacterium. RNAcentral describes it as "bacterial SSU rRNA". It matches the Rfam family "Bacterial small subunit ribosomal RNA", at positions 971 to 1501 of the family's 1533-position model. The record is from RNAcentral.